CCUACGGGAGGCAGCAUUGAGGAAUAUUGGUCAAUGGCCGGAAGGCUGAACAAGCCAAGCCGCGUGAAGGACGAAGGUGCCAAGCAUUGUAAACUUCUUUUGUAAAGGGACAAAAUCAGGCUCGAGAGCCUGACCGAGGGUACUUGAAGAAAAAGCAGCGGCUAACUCCGUGCCAGCAGACGCGGUAAUAACGAGGAUGCGAGCGUUAUCCGGAUAUAUUUGGUUUAAAGGGUGCGUCGGCGGGCUGUUAAGUCAGCGGUAAAAGCUCGGGGCUCAACCCCGUCGAGCCGUUGAACCUGGUUGUCUUGAGAUGUCGAGAGGUAUGCGGAAUGCGCAGUGUACGGGUGAAAUGCUUAGAUAUUGCGCAGAACUCCGAUUGCGAAGGCAGCAUACCGGCGGCGAUCUGACGCUGAGGCACGAAAGCGUGGGUAUCGAACAGGAUUAGAUACCCGAGUAGUC
Molecule: ribosomal RNA, 459 nt
Filed under: uncultured bacterium
Lineage: Bacteria
Description: partial 16S ribosomal RNA
Rfam family: Bacterial small subunit ribosomal RNA
Source: RNAcentral